Molecule: ribosomal RNA, 234 nt
Filed under: Triticum aestivum (bread wheat)
Lineage: Eukaryota; Viridiplantae; Streptophyta; Magnoliopsida; Poales; Poaceae
Description: partial small subunit ribosomal RNA
Source: RNAcentral
AUGCAUCUCUUUGGGCUUCUAUCGAAUUGUGAAAUUGGGUUGUACAUCUUUUUGCUUUUGAUAUCGAUUUUGAUAAAUAUAAGGUGUCCUACGGAAAAUGCAAAUCGAAGUUAUUUGAUGUCUGACUCAGGCCUAUAUGACUGAUCCAUCGAAAUACGCCAAGACUCCACCUUUGUCAUAUAUUCCAUAUAUCACCACUCAAUCUGGAGUUCAUGUCACUAUGUAAACUUUUAA